Molecule: ribosomal RNA, 1439 nt
Filed under: Streptomyces phaeochromogenes
Lineage: Bacteria; Bacillati; Actinomycetota; Actinomycetes; Kitasatosporales; Streptomycetaceae
Description: 16S ribosomal RNA
Rfam family: Bacterial small subunit ribosomal RNA
Source: RNAcentral
ACACAUGCAAGUCGAACGAUGAAGCCCUUCGGGGUGGAUUAGUGGCGAACGGGUGAGUAACACGUGGGCAAUCUGCCCUUCACUCUGGGACAAGCCCUGGAAACGGGGUCUAAUACCGGAUAAUACCUGCCUGGGCAUCUGGGUGGGUUAAAAGCUCCGGCGGUGAAGGAUGAGCCCGCGGCCUAUCAGCUUGUUGGUGAGGUAGUGGCUCACCAAGGCGACGACGGGUAGCCGGCCUGAGAGGGCGACCGGCCACACUGGGACUGAGACACGGCCCAGACUCCUACGGGAGGCAGCAGUGGGGAAUAUUGCACAAUGGGCGAAAGCCUGAUGCAGCGACGCCGCGUGAGGGAUGACGGCCUUCGGGUUGUAAACCUCUUUCAGCAGGGAAGAAGCGAAAGUGACGGUACCUGCAGAAGAAGCGCCGGCUAACUACGUGCCAGCAGCCGCGGUAAUACGUAGGGCGCAAGCGUUGUCCGGAAUUAUUGGGCGUAAAGAGCUCGUAGGCGGCUUGUCACGUCGGUUGUGAAAGCCCGGGGCUUAACCCCGGGUCUGCAGUCGAUACGGGCAGGCUAGAGUGUGGUAGGGGAGAUCGGAAUUCCUGGUGUAGCGGUGAAAUGCGCAGAUAUCAGGAGGAACACCGGUGGCGAAGGCGGAUCUCUGGGCCAUUACUGACGCUGAGGAGCGAAAGCGUGGGGAGCGAACAGGAUUAGAUACCCUGGUAGUCCACGCCGUAAACGGUGGGAACUAGGUGUUGGCGACAUUCCACGUCGUCGGUGCCGCAGCUAACGCAUUAAGUUCCCCGCCUGGGGAGUACGGCCGCAAGGCUAAAACUCAAAGGAAUUGACGGGGGCCCGCACAAGCAGCGGAGCAUGUGGCUUAAUUCGACGCAACGCGAAGAACCUUACCAAGGCUUGACAUCGCCCGGAAAGCAUCAGAGAUGGUGCCCCCCUUGUGGUCGGGUGACAGGUGGUGCAUGGCUGUCGUCAGCUCGUGUCGUGAGAUGUUGGGUUAAGUCCCGCAACGAGCGCAACCCUUGUUCUGUGUUGCCAGCAUGCCCUUCGGGGUGAUGGGGACUCACAGGAGACUGCCGGGGUCAACUCGGAGGAAGGUGGGGACGACGUCAAGUCAUCAUGCCCCUUAUGUCUUGGGCUGCACACGUGCUACAAUGGCAGGUACAAUGAGCUGCGAUGCCGCGAGGCGGAGCGAAUCUCAAAAAGCCUGUCUCAGUUCGGAUUGGGGUCUGCAACUCGACCCCAUGAAGUCGGAGUUGCUAGUAAUCGCAGAUCAGCAUUGCUGCGGUGAAUACGUUCCCGGGCCUUGUACACACCGCCCGUCACGUCACGAAAGUCGGUAACACCCGAAGCCGGUGGCCCAACCCCCUUGUGGGGAGGGAGCUGUCGAAGGUGGGACUGGCGAUUGGGACGAAGUCGUAACAA